Molecule: unclassified non-coding RNA, 520 nt
Filed under: uncultured Acaulospora
Lineage: Eukaryota; Fungi; Glomeromycota; Glomeromycetes; Diversisporales; Acaulosporaceae
Also listed under: 1 other name
Description: SSU rRNA
Rfam family: Eukaryotic small subunit ribosomal RNA
Source: RNAcentral
AGCAGCCGCGGUAAUUCCAGCUCCAAUAGCGUAUAUUAAAGUUGUUGCAGUUAAAAAGCUCGUAGUUGAAUUUCGGGGUCUGUCCGUCGGUCGGGCUUCACGGUCCGUACUGGUGUGAUGGGUUCCUACCUUCUGAAUAACCGGCAUGCCAUUCAGUUGGUGCGCCGGGGAAGCAGAGCUAUUACCUUGAAAAAAUUAGAGUGCUUAAAGCAGGCUAGUGCUUGAAUAGAUUAGCAUGGAAUAAUAAAAUAGGACGGCAUGGUUCUAUUUUGUUGGUUUCUAGGAUCACCGUAAUGAUUAAUAGGGAUAGUUGGGGGCAUUAGUAUUCAAUUGUCAGGGGUGAAAUUCUUGGAUUUAUUGAAGACUAACUUCUGCGAAAGCAUUUGCCAAGGAUGUUUUCAUUAAUCAAGAACGAAAGUUAGGGGAUCGAAGACGAUCAGAUACCGUCGUAGUCUUAACCAUAAACUAUGCCGACUAGGGAUCGGACGAUGUUAAUUUUUUGAAUGACUCGUUCGGCGCC